AAUAAGUGUAGUUUUACACUAUUUAUAUCCAACGUUUAAUCGUCCGUCUUAUUUGAAAAAAUUUUAUGAUUAGUAUUUUUACUGCUAUUUGAUGAUAAAAUAUGAAUAGUACUUUAUGUGUGACUAUUUUUUUAAAUUUUUUAUAAAUUUUUAUUUAUUUAAAUAAAAUAGAUGAUAAAAUAUUGGAUAUAGAUAUAUACGAUUGCGCUUAUU
This 213-nucleotide microRNA precursor is filed under the name Oryza punctata. Its description in RNAcentral is "MIR812 microRNA precursor family". It matches the Rfam family "MIR812 microRNA precursor family". Lineage: Eukaryota; Viridiplantae; Streptophyta; Magnoliopsida; Poales; Poaceae. The record is from Rfam by way of RNAcentral.